RNAcentral lists this small nucleolar RNA (138 nucleotides) under Ornithorhynchus anatinus (platypus). Lineage: Eukaryota; Metazoa; Chordata; Mammalia; Monotremata; Ornithorhynchidae. The record is from RNAcentral.
ACCCUCUCAGGGUCACAAUUGGAGAGUUUCCAGUACUCUACCAAUCUCGACUAUGGGAGGGAGAGUCAAGCAGAGGCCUACCCAUUCCAUUCCUAGCUUGCCCAGUGGCUAGUGAGUGGAAGGCAAUCUGCUGCAAGU